This 431-nucleotide unclassified non-coding RNA is filed under the name plant metagenome. RNAcentral's name for it is "partial contains 5.8S ribosomal RNA, internal transcribed spacer 2, and large subunit ribosomal RNA". The stretch from base 1 to 102 matches the Rfam family "5.8S ribosomal RNA", at positions 50 to 154 of the family's 154-position model. The record is from RNAcentral.
AAACUGCGAUAAGUAGUGUGAAUUGCAUUUAGUGAAUCAUCGAAUCUUUGAACGCACCCUGCACUCACUGGUAUUCCGGUGAGUACGCCUGUUUCAGUAUCAUUGAAAACACACAAUCAAAACAUUUUCUUUGGUUUGAUUGGCUUUGGGUCUAUCAAAAAGUUUGGCUUGUUUCUUACAAGCCAAGCGGCCUGAAAUAUAUUGUCUGGCUAAUUGCAUCGUUGAUGAUCGCUAUUAGACUUUGGCUUUUUUAAAUGAACUGGAGGUUGAUUAACCAGUUUUAGCUUUAGUCAAAUGGUCAUUGUAAAAAAAAUCUCGAUCUUGGCUAGGUGUUUAUAGCCGAAAAUUUUUUUUUGGCUAUAACCGAAACAAAUAUAAUCACAUUUAGUUAUCGAUCUGAAAUCAGGUGGGACUACCCGCUGAACUUAAGC